This 237-nucleotide long non-coding RNA is filed under the name Carica papaya (papaya). RNAcentral describes it as "long non-coding RNA (CPAP_LNC002991)". The record is from RNAcentral. Lineage: Eukaryota; Viridiplantae; Streptophyta; Magnoliopsida; Brassicales; Caricaceae.
GUAUGUUAGCUCACCUAAUGGUUUCUGAAUAUAGGGUAAUAGGGGCCGCACAAUAGAUACGACUUUAGAACCUUUCCCUUUAUACCUCAAUCUACUUAGGCGAAACCCUCGUAUUCUCUCUUAGCCUAGGUUUGAAGCGAAGUGAGUGACUCUUGGCUGAGAGAGCAUAGUUGCAUGCUUGACCCACCUGACUGUCUAACCCGGAUUGAUCCAGGGAAUAAAAGAAGCCCAAUCCAC